RNAcentral lists this ribosomal RNA (465 nucleotides) under uncultured bacterium. Its description in RNAcentral is "partial 16S ribosomal RNA". It matches the Rfam family "Bacterial small subunit ribosomal RNA", at positions 28 to 507 of the family's 1533-position model. The record is from RNAcentral.
GACGAACGCUGGCGGCGUGCUUAACACAUGCAAGUCGAACGGUAAGGCCCCUUCGGGGGUACACGAGUGGCGAACGGGUGAGUAACACGUGAGCAUCCUGCCCUUGACUCUGGAAUAACAGUUGGAAACAGCUGCUAAUACUGGAUAUUCAUCGUCUCCUUCCUGGGGGGUGGUGGAAAGCUCCGGCGGUCAGGGAUGGGCUCGCGGCCUAUCAGCUUGUUGGUGAGGUAAUGGCUCACCAAGGCUUCGACGGGUAGCCGGCCUGAGAGGGCGACCGGCCACACUGGGACUGAGAUACGGCCCAGACUCCUACGGGAGGCAGCAGUGGGGAAUAUUGCACAAUGGGCGCAAGCCUGAUGCAGCAACGCCGCGUGCGGGAUGACGGCCUUCGGGUUGUAAACCGCUUUCAGUAGGGACGAAGGGUGACUGACGGUACCUACAGAAGAAGGACCGGCUAACUACGUG